GAUGAACGCUGGCGGCGUGCCUAAUACAUGCAAGUCGAGCGAACAGACGAGGAGCUUGCUCCUCUGACGUUAGCGGCGGACGGGUGAGUAACACGUGGAUAACCUACCUAUAAGACUGGGAUAACUUCGGGAAACCGGAGCUAAUACCGGAUAAUAUAUUGAACCGCAUGGUUCAAUAGUGAAAGACGGUUUUGCUGUCACUUAUAGAUGGAUCCGCGCCGCAUUAGCUAGUUGGUAAGGUAACGGCUUACCAAGGCAACGAUGCGUAGCCGACCUGAGAGGGUGAGCGGCCAAACUGGAAUUGAGACCCGGUCCAGACUCCUACGGGAGGCAGCAGUAGGGAAUCUUCCGCAAUGGGCGAAAGCCUGACGGAGCAACGCCGCGUGAGUGAUGAAGGUCUUCGGAUCGUAAAACUCUGUUAUUAGGGAAGAACAAAUGUGUAAGUAACUAUGCACGUCUUGACGGUACCUAAUCAGAAAGCCACGGCUAACUACGUG
Molecule: ribosomal RNA, 497 nt
Filed under: uncultured bacterium
Lineage: Bacteria
Description: partial 16S ribosomal RNA
Rfam family: Bacterial small subunit ribosomal RNA
Source: RNAcentral